This 460-nucleotide ribosomal RNA is filed under the name uncultured bacterium. RNAcentral's name for it is "partial 16S ribosomal RNA". It matches the Rfam family "Bacterial small subunit ribosomal RNA", at positions 338 to 795 of the family's 1533-position model. The record is from RNAcentral.
CCUUCGGGGGGCAGCAGUGAGGAAUAUUGGUCAAUGGACGCAAGUCUGAACCAGCCAUGCCGCGUGCAGGAUGACGGCUCUAUGAGUUGUAAACUGCUUUUGUACGAGGGUAAACCCCGAUACGUGUAUCGGGUUGAAAGUAUCGUACGAAUAAGGAUCGGCUAACUCCGUGCCAGCAGCCGCGGUAAUACGGAGGGUGCGAGCGUUAAUCGGAAUUACUGGGCGUAAAGCGCUCGUAGGCGGUAUGUCAAGUCAAGGGUGAAAUCCCCGCGCUCAACGUGGGAACUGCCUUUGAAACUGGCAAACUUGAGUGUGUGUGAGGAUAGUGGAAUUCCAGGUGUAGGAGUGAAAUCCGUAGAUAUCUGGAGGAACAUCAGUGGCGAAGGCGACUAUCUGGCACAUAACUGACGCUGAGGAGCGAAAGCGUGGGUAGCAAACAGGAUUAGAUACCCUAGUAGUC